Molecule: long non-coding RNA, 1541 nt
Organism: Cherax quadricarinatus
Lineage: Eukaryota; Metazoa; Arthropoda; Malacostraca; Decapoda; Parastacidae
Source: RefSeq, a predicted model, not a curated record
CAGAGCUCCUAUAGUCACCCUUAGGGUUAGAUGGUGACGUCAGAAAAGUUACAUAAUUGUUACUACUAUAACAAAUUAAGAGUCAAAAACCGGCGAUUUCUGGAGAGCAGAAAUUACUUGCCCUGAUUAUCGUGUCAACGAAGUAUAUACACGUUUUGAAGUUGCAACAUGUGUCAUUUAGAUGCUUGUUUUAAUGUUACGAAUAUAAAUUAGUCAUGAGAUAAAAUGUCCUUAUCGGCAACCGAUGGUCAGUGUUCCCUGCUUCCCAAACGUCUCAGCUCCGGACUAGUGGACAAGUGUGUGGUCUAUUCUCUAGCAUUACUCGUAAACCUUAAAAUGAGUGUCAUGUGCAAGUACCUGUCGCGCUAUCAUAGUUGUGACUUGAUAUGGUCCAGGGUGGACCGAAACGCCGUCUAAAGCUUCCUCUCCAAAGCGGUCAAGCCAAAUUGCUUCAUGGAGAGAGGAACUUUCCACCACCCGCGCAGGCGCAGUGCGACGCGGAAGGUACAACCGGCCAGUGGACACUGAACAUGAAGAGACUUUAUUGUAGUUAGGGCAGGUAAAGGCGUCUGUGGGAGGAGGGUGAGGAUUAAGUUUAUUUAGGUACAGGUAUACAUAAAUACAGUUACACAAAUUAUCAUACAUGUGUAAAUUACCUUAGACCAAAAAAGUCACACAGUGACAUUUCAUUGGGGUUCCUUAGCAGUAAUAUCUUUAUUUCUAAAAGUACAUGUACAAGGUAUACAGGCCUAACUGACAUCAAUGACUUACUACUACAUAGAAAGCCGCUUGUAAUGCAGAGCAUUUCAGGCAAAUUAGGUAAAUUUUAUCCCAGGGUGCGACCCACACCAGUCAACUAACACCCAGGUACCCACUUCACUGAUGAGUGAACAUGGACAACCGGUGUAAGGAAACACGCCGGGAAUCGAACCCGGACGCUCACCGUAUGAAGCGAGAGCUUUUGCCACCAUGCCACGGGCCUGGUGUGGGAAUUUAGAGGUAGAUAGCAAGGUAGUGAUAAGAGAAUCUCCAGUUACCGAAGGUGGAUGUUACAAGAAUCAGGACCUCGUGAGGUGGGGCCGAACAAUGAGCAGCCGAGGGUCUUCGGGAGCCGGGACCCUGUGAGACAGAGGCAACCACGGAGUGGGUCCGUGUACAUUGCGUCAUGGCCAGGUUUUUGUGGACCAGGCGGACUAUCCUCGGGGCUAAUUAAAUUUUGACACCGCUCUUCCUCUCACACCCAGGAGACAGCCACUCGUAUUAUCAGAAUCAGCAGCGGUAAAUAUAUAAAGGACCCCAAUGAAAAUAAUCAAAGGACCCCAAUGGAAAUAAGUCACUCUCUGACUUUUUUGGGUUAUCCUAGGUUCUCUACACAUAUGCUGCUAUGUAUGAUAAUUCUAUGUAACUGUAUUUGUGUAUACGUGAAUAAACUUACUUAUAAAUAAACCUAUCAACAGCACCAAAUUCAGUAGCACGAACAGCACCAGAUUCAGUAGCAAGAGCAGCACCAGAUUCAGUAGCACGAACAGCACCAGAUUCAG